AGAGUAGCUGGAAAGGACGAUUGAUUGGCCAUUAGCUUGACUGACUAAGACGGGGAUGUGGGCAUACCGGGUAAUUCUCCUAUCUUUGUUUGAGACUUCCUUAAGGCUAGCUUUAAAGGACAUGGUUGCAGUCUACCUUCUUCCACAAUGAAAGGGAACCCUCUUCCGCUAUAGCAUUUCAAAUAAGUGCUUAUUGAGUUCACGUAACUCAACCUGAAAAGGAAAGAUUCAGACACUGAACACUAAGCCAAUUUCCAUAAACUACGUAAGACUGAUGCCGUAGUAGAUCAA
This 291-nucleotide unclassified non-coding RNA is filed under the name Hevea brasiliensis (rubber tree). The record is from RNAcentral. Lineage: Eukaryota; Viridiplantae; Streptophyta; Magnoliopsida; Malpighiales; Euphorbiaceae.